RNAcentral lists this ribosomal RNA (879 nucleotides) under Atheta tokiokai. RNAcentral describes it as "SSU rRNA". It matches the Rfam family "Eukaryotic small subunit ribosomal RNA", at positions 465 to 1273 of the family's 1831-position model. RNAcentral also lists the same sequence under 1 other name. The record is from RNAcentral. Lineage: Eukaryota; Metazoa; Arthropoda; Insecta; Coleoptera; Staphylinidae.
UAGUGACGAAAAAUAACGAUACGGGACUCAUCCGAGGCCCCGUAAUCGGAAUGAGUACACUUUAAAACUUUUCCCGAGGAUCAAUUGGAGGGUAAGUCUGGUGCCAGCAGCCGCGGUAAUUCCAGCUCCAAUAGCGUAUAUUAAAGUUGUUGCGGUUAAAAAGCUCGUAGUCGAAUCUGUGUCCCGCGCCGCUGGUUCAUCGCUCGCGGUGUUCAACUGGCGUGUCUCGCGGGACGUCCUGCCGGUGGGCGCUCGUAUCGCUUCGGCGGUGCGUGGCCCAACUCGUAGCCGUCUCGCGCGGUUGCGAAUCCCAUCGCGGUGCUCUUUAUUGAGUGUCGAGGUGGGCCGGCACGUUUACUUUGAACAAAUUAGAGUGCUUAAAGCAGGCCAAUUUUGCCUGAAUAUUGUGUGCAUGGAAUAAUGGAAUAGGACCUCGGUUCUAUUUUGUUGGUUUUCGGAACCCCGAGGUAAUGAUUAAUAGGAACGGAUGGGGGCAUUCGUAUUGCGACGUUAGAGGUGAAAUUCUUGGAUCGUCGCAAGACGGACAGAAGCGAAAGCAUUUGCCAAAAACGCUUUCAUUGAUCAAGAACGAAAGUUAGAGGUUCGAAGGCGAUCAGAUACCGCCCUAGUUCUAACCAUAAACGAUGCCAGCUAGCGAUCCGCCGACGUUCCUCCGAUGACUCGGCGGGCAGCUUCCGGGAAACCAAAGCUUUUGGGUUCCGGGGGAAGUAUGGUUGCAAAGCUGAAACUUAAAGGAAUUGACGGAAGGGCACCACCAGGAGUGGAGCCUGCGGCUUAAUUUGACUCAACACGGGACACCUCACCAGGCCCGGACACCGGAAGGAUUGACAGAUUGAGAGCUCUUUCUUGAUUCGGUGG